CUACCGCAACUUUAACAAAGUCUCUAUACAUUUGCUGGAUGGUCAUAUACGGGGUAUCAUCGUAUAGAGGGUCAAAGAUAGUGACUGCCCAUUCAGGCACCGAGAAUACAAACAGGAUAAAAUGCUUGGUCUCUUGAGUACACACUGGCAUGAAUAUAUACGUGCAUUCGUGUAAUGUCGGGACCACAUCUGGGUGGACAUAAGGGUGACAAAAAUUCUCUACCCCAUUCGCCUGGCUUGAGGAUACAACGCUCUUGCCAAGAUGCAUGAAGAAUGAUUCCAUGAAGCCAAAUGUUGCCCACCUUCGAAUUCCCUGCGUCCUGUAGUACUCCUCUCUAUCCCGCAAUAAUAAAAUAUACGCGUCCAACGAAUGCUCAAAAAUCCAAGAUGCAGGGCUUAAGGCUUGGAAUGCGUUGUGAUGUAUACAAGUUAUGCGGAUGUAUGGCUAGAAAUAUUGGUGGAUUCGAAAGUUGGUUCCCAAACAAGUAAUUAUUUAUAAACUCUAUCUUGU
RNAcentral lists this long non-coding RNA (511 nucleotides) under Panax ginseng (ginseng). RNAcentral's name for it is "long non-coding RNA (PGIN_LNC007411)". The record is from RNAcentral. Lineage: Eukaryota; Viridiplantae; Streptophyta; Magnoliopsida; Apiales; Araliaceae.